Molecule: ribosomal RNA, 250 nt
Filed under: uncultured prokaryote
Description: partial 16S ribosomal RNA
Rfam family: Bacterial small subunit ribosomal RNA
Source: RNAcentral
UACGUAGGGGGCGAGCGUUAUCCGGAAUUACUGGGCGUAAAGAGUGCGUAGGCGGCUCUUUAAGCGCGGGGUUUAAGGCUGCGGCUUAACCGCAGUUCGCCCCGCGAACUGGAGGGCUUGAGUACAGGAGGGGAAGGCGGAAUUCCUAGUGUAGCGGUGAAAUGCGUAGAUAUUAGGAGGAACACCAGUGGCGAAGGCGGCCUUCUGGACUGAAACUGACGCUGAGGCACGAAAGCGUGGGUAGCAAACA